Molecule: long non-coding RNA, 496 nt
Filed under: Homo sapiens (human)
Lineage: Eukaryota; Metazoa; Chordata; Mammalia; Primates; Hominidae
Description: HSALNT0304432
Source: RNAcentral
AGAGACUUGAGCAUCUGUGGAUUUUGGUGUCUGCAGCAGGUCCUGGAACCAGUCCCCUUCGGAUAUCAAGGGAGGAUUGUACAACAGAGUUUUCUUUGGCUGGUGGCAGAUGAGGAGGUCAGAGAGAUUCAAAGCAUGAGAAGGAUUUGGCAUGUCCUUGCUGGCUUUGAAGAUAGAGGGACCACACUCAAGGACCAGAGAGAAGCCACAGUUGCUGACAGUGACCCUUCACCAACAGCCAGCAAGGAAAUGGACCUCAGCCCUGUGGCUGCAUGAAACUGAAUUCUGCCAGCAACCCCCAAAGAACUUGGAAGUGUGUUCUUUCCCACAGCACCCAGAUGAGAGCCCAGCCAAGCUGACACCCUGAUUUCAGCCCCUGAGUAGAGAAUCCAGUAGAGUCUGCCUGAACUUCUGACCCAUAGAAAUGUGAGAUAAUAAAAGGGUGUUGUUUUAAACCAUUAAAUUUCUAGUAAUUCAUCACAAAGCAAUAGAAAAC